UCUAAGUAAAAUUCGGCUCUUCUGUUGUUCCACUUCAAUUCCUAAGUAGUAGGAGAGAAGACCCAAAUCACUCAUCUCAAAUUCUGUCAUCAUUUGUUGUUUGAACUUGUUUAUUCCUUCUGUGCUCCUUCCUGUCACGAUGAGAUCGUCAACAUACACUCCAACAAGUAUACUAGCUUCUCUUUUACCUCUUGUAUAUACUGCAUGUUCUUGAUUGCAUUUUUUGAAGCCGAGCUCUUUCAGACUCCUGUUCAGCCGCAUGUUCCAAGCUCGUGGAGCCUGCCGCAGUCCAUAGAGGGCCUUGGAUAACCUCUCUCCGUUCAGAAAUGCCGACUUCACGUCUAGAUGGUGUACCUCCCAGCCUUGAUUUGCUGCAAGUGCAAGAAUGACUCGAAUAGUAUCAAGUCUAGCGACAGCUGAAUCUUUCUUCAGUUUGAACACCCAUUUUAGGCCGAUAGGUUUGUGGCCUAAUGGGAGCUCAGUUAGGG
Molecule: long non-coding RNA, 488 nt
Organism: Zingiber officinale
Lineage: Eukaryota; Viridiplantae; Streptophyta; Magnoliopsida; Zingiberales; Zingiberaceae
Exons: 3
Source: RefSeq, a predicted model, not a curated record